This 307-nucleotide long non-coding RNA is filed under the name Panicum hallii. RNAcentral's name for it is "long non-coding RNA (PHAL_LNC000347)". The record is from RNAcentral. Lineage: Eukaryota; Viridiplantae; Streptophyta; Magnoliopsida; Poales; Poaceae.
CAGGUAACAAUCUACUAGCUGGAAUUGGAUUCUUGGUGGUGUUCAAAACUGAGCUGAACGCAACUCAAUAAGAGGUCUAGCUAGGAAACUGAUGGUAUUGGUGCGUCGUUGUUCAGGUGUGGCCGACUGAGAACAACAAGAAGUUCGAGACCCUGUCGUACCUGCCGCCUCUCUCCACGGAGGACCUCUUGAAGCAGAUCGACUACCUGAUCCGGAACAACUGGGUCCCCUGCCUCGAGUUCAGCAAGGUCGGCUUCGUCUUCCGUGAGAACGCCACUUCUCCCGGGUACUACGAUGGCCGCUACUG